Long non-coding RNA from Chinchilla lanigera (long-tailed chinchilla), 1159 nucleotides. RefSeq lists it as uncharacterized. The transcript is spliced from 4 exons. The record is from RefSeq and is a predicted model, not a curated record. NCBI's taxonomy places the organism in Eukaryota, Metazoa, Chordata, Mammalia, Rodentia, Chinchillidae.
AAGCUACAGCAUCAUUUUCUCGUAGGGAUGUAGUAUAUAGCCAGCCUCCAGUUUCACAGUGUAGCUCUAGACUUUUCUUUGAACACAGUCCUGUGAAAAUUACUUCACUUCUCCAAGCUAAACUUUCUUUAUUAAACUGGUGUCACAAAGUUACUUAUCUCAUAAGUUUUUAAGGAAGGAGACAAACUAUGUAACAGUUUUAGUAGAAGGCCUGGCAUGUAGGAUACACCCAGAAUGUUAUUCUGACUUUUGGUGAGAGGUAAAGGGAACCAAUAAUUUUCCAAAGAAACCUCCUCAAGCUAGCCUUGAGAAGAGGCGUAUGAGAAUACGGGGAACUGAGACUGACUCAGGCAAAACAUUUCAGAGGCGUGAUCAUUACCAGGGCAGACUCAUGUGGGAAGCAAUGAAUCAAGGGAGAAGUUGGGUAGCCCUUGCAGAGUGUUGCUAUGGCAACCAGAUGUUGUGUGGAGCGGGAGGGAGGCCAUGCCAGAUGCAGAGCCUGACGCAAAUCACCCUGGGCGGGGUGGAGGUGAGCGUGGUGUGUAUGUUGGAGGCUGGGAGAGGAUGCUGGAUGGUGGCAGGGCAGGCAGCAAGGAGAAUGGGGAAUCAAGAGCUGCCUAGGCUGCCGUGGUCACUGGAUAAGCAAGAUCCACCGACUGGUAAGAAAAGUGGCCAAGGCGCAAAGUGAAAAGUGGAUUUUCCCGGUGCAGCCUCCUCUCCCCUUGCUGUUUUCUUGUUUUGUUUGUUUUUGUUUUUGUGGUACCAGGAAUCAAACUCAUGACCUCACACCUGCCCGGCAGAUGCUGUGCGGCUGAGCUAUGUGCCCAGCCUCCCCCACCCCUUGCUGUUCCAACAGCUGCUCAGCCCCUGGUACUAAAGUUGUGGAAACUGAGAAAUUCUUGCAGUGCCUGCUCAGAUCUUCCUCUGCCUGAGAAACUACCACAGCAGGAUCUGUGGAGCUGAGCUGACUCAUGAGAGCUGGAACUAGCAGUGCAUGCUGAUAAUGGAACACGUGAUGCUGAAAACAUGUGACAUGCGGCCUAACAAGACCAGCUGCAAGUGUGGACGAGGCCUUGCGUGCGUUUGCUGCCCUUGCCCAGUCUGAGGAAGAAAGCAGUGGGGAUUAAACCCAGGGUCUAGUUGUGUUGUUAAGGCUGGC